AUUGAACGCUGGCGGCAGGCUUAACACAUGCAAGUCGAGCGGGGUGAUGGUGCUUGCACUAUCACUUAGCGGCGGACGGGUGAGUAAUGCUUAGGAAUCUGCCUAUUAGUGGGGGACAACAUCUCGAAAGGGAUGCUAAUACCGCAUACGUCCUACGGGAGAAAGCAGGGGAUCACUUGUGACCUUGCGCUAAUAGAUGAGCCUAAGUCGGAUUAGCUAGUUGGUGGGGUAAGGGCCUACCAAGGCGACGAUCUGUAGCGGGUCUGAGAGGAUGAUCCGGCACACUUGGACUGAGACACGGCCCAGACUCCUACGGGAGGCAGCAGUGCGGACUAUUGGACAAUGGGGGGAACCCUGAUCCAGCCAUGCCGCGUGUGUGAAGAAGGCCUUAUGGUUGUAAAGCACUUUAAGCGAGGAGGAGGCUCUUUUGGUUAAUACCCAAGAUGAGUGGACGUUACUCGCAGAAUAAGCACCGGCUAACUCUGUGCCAGCCGCCGCAGUAA
RNAcentral lists this ribosomal RNA (503 nucleotides) under uncultured bacterium. RNAcentral's name for it is "partial 16S ribosomal RNA". It matches the Rfam family "Bacterial small subunit ribosomal RNA", at positions 30 to 523 of the family's 1533-position model. The record is from RNAcentral.